This 84-nucleotide transfer RNA is filed under the name Acholeplasma sp. RNAcentral's name for it is "tRNA-Tyr". It matches the Rfam family "tRNA". From Rfam's summary of the family: Transfer RNA (tRNA) molecules are approximately 80 nucleotides in length. Their secondary structure includes four short double-helical elements and three loops (D, anti-codon, and T loops). The record is from RNAcentral. Lineage: Bacteria; Bacillati; Mycoplasmatota; Mollicutes; Acholeplasmatales; Acholeplasmataceae.
GGGGGGGUAGCGAAGUGGCUAAACGCGGCAGACUGUAAAUCUGUUCCUUAGGGUUCGACAGUUCGAAUCUGUCCCCCCCCACCA